Molecule: ribosomal RNA, 206 nt
Filed under: uncultured bacterium
Lineage: Bacteria
Description: partial 16S ribosomal RNA
Rfam family: Bacterial small subunit ribosomal RNA
Source: RNAcentral
CGCGCAGGCGGAUCUGCCAGUCUGUCUUAAAAGUUCGGGGCUUAACCCCGUGAUGGGAUGGAAACUACAGAUCUAGAGUAUCGGAGAGGAAAGUGGAAUUCCUAGUGUAGCGGUGAAAUGCGUAGAUAUUAGGAAGAACACCAGUGGCGAAGGCGACUUUCUGGACGAAAACUGACGCUGAGGCGCGAAAGCCAGGGGAGGCAACG